AAUGUUCCUGAUCCUUGUACUCCAGAGAUUGCUGCUUUCUACUUUGUCUAUCAUCAGUGAGGAAUGUGGAAUACAAACCCUACCCUUGGUUUUGCCUGUUAAAUUAUCGACAGCUACCUUGAAGAAGAAGAAAAAAGCUGAACAUGCUGAAAGGGUAGUUGAAUGGGGAGAAAAAAGACACCAUUCAACUCACAACAAAACAAACACACAAAAAAUCAUUUCCUAUAAGAAUCUUCUUUGAAUGACUGCUUAGGCCCAAGUUGACAGAAUGUAGUUUCCUUGCACCUCCUGGGAAAUAAACAAACUUUUGUUGUCCAUCUUCUAUCCUUGAUAUAAUGAUCUGUUUCUCUGUUACUAUUGCCCAGGCACAAUGGACGGGAGAGGUGAAAGAGGAAAAUAAAAUAAACAAAAAUCAAUGGUA
Long non-coding RNA from Ornithorhynchus anatinus (platypus), 421 nucleotides. RefSeq lists it as uncharacterized. Lineage: Eukaryota; Metazoa; Chordata; Mammalia; Monotremata; Ornithorhynchidae. The transcript has 2 exons. The record is from RefSeq and is a predicted model, not a curated record.